This 494-nucleotide ribosomal RNA is filed under the name uncultured bacterium. Its description in RNAcentral is "partial 16S ribosomal RNA". It matches the Rfam family "Bacterial small subunit ribosomal RNA", at positions 27 to 507 of the family's 1533-position model. The record is from RNAcentral.
GAUUGAACGCUGGCGGCAUGCUUUACCCAUGCAAGUCGAACGGCAACGAGGAGAAGCUUGCUUCUCUGUCGGCGAGUGGCGAACGGGUGAGUAUAGCAUCGGAACGUGCCAAGUAGUGGGGGAUAACCAAACGAAAGUUUGGCUAAUACCGCGUAAGCUCCAAGGAGGAAAGUAGGGGACCUAAAUAAGGCCUUACGCUAUUUGAUCGGCCGAUGUCGGAUUAGCUAGUUGGUGGGGUAAUGGCUCACCAAGGCAAUGAUCCGUAGCGGGUCUGAGAGGACGAUCCGCCACACUGGGACUGAGACACGGCCCAGACUCCUACGGGAGGCAGCAGUGGGGAAUUUUGGACAAUGGGGGAAACCCUGAUCCAGCCAUGCCGCGUGUAUGAAGAAGGCCUUAGGGUUGUAAAGUACUUUUGUUAGGGAAGAAAAGCUAGUUUUUAAUAAAAAUUAGUGAUGACGGUACCUAAAGAAUAAGCACCGGCUAACUACGUG